Molecule: small nuclear RNA, 105 nt
Filed under: Chinchilla lanigera (long-tailed chinchilla)
Lineage: Eukaryota; Metazoa; Chordata; Mammalia; Rodentia; Chinchillidae
Source: RNAcentral
GUGCUCACUUCGGCAGCACAUUUAGUAAAAUUGGAAUGAUACAGAGAAGAUUAGCAUGGCCCCUGCACAGAUGACAUGCAAAUUCAUGAAGCAUUCCGUAUUUAA